RNAcentral lists this long non-coding RNA (2621 nucleotides) under Musa acuminata (dwarf banana). Its description in RNAcentral is "long non-coding RNA (MACU_LNC007827)". The record is from RNAcentral. Lineage: Eukaryota; Viridiplantae; Streptophyta; Magnoliopsida; Zingiberales; Musaceae.
UUAGCAAGUUAUUAGUAAGUUCUGAGUUACGCUAACAUGAGCUCUCGGGGCGCGUUAGUAUUGGGAGUUUCUUUGUGUGUUAGGGAGCGGGUCAGGGGUACCUCUAUGGGUUCUUAAAGUCAGGAGGCAGUGAGUUUCCUUUUUUUUGUAUGUUACACGCUAUCUGAUUGGAUUUCUCCGUUUCCGUUUCUUGUUUCAACUCCUAUAACUUAUAUCAGCAGCCGAACCCAACACUUUUGUACUUGACUUCUAGCCUAAAGCUUUCUGAAUGGAAUCUAUCUAUCUUGCAGCACUACUCAUUGAAUGGAAUCUAUCUUGCUGCACCACUCAUUGAAUGGAAUCUAUCUUGCUGCACCCACUCAUAUAAGCAAGUAAACAACCAGUAUUGCUUCAAGACUGACUAUCUCUGCCCGGCCCGAACACAAUAAGCGUUAGCGUCCCGAAACUCCCAUUAGCGUGAAAGGGCUGUCUUUCUGAACUCACGUUAGUGCUUAGGAACGUCGUUUGCUAGUGGAAUUGAGUGAAAAAUCAUACAUAAGAGAAUAUAGGCAGCAGAACCGCAUACUAUAGUACUUGUUCCGUUGCUUUAAUAAACACGGAUUUAUUGGCUGCCGCCCGCCAGGUCGACCCGGACUCAAUUGCUAGAAUGUUCCCUUGCUUGAAAUUACUCUCUUAGGGGGGCCCUUACUUUGGUUGUUCGGUUGCUAGUUUAGUUUACGCGUUAGUUAGUUGUUCGGUUGCUAGUUUAGUUUACGCGUUAGUUAGUUGUUCGGUUGCUUCUUCACUCCUUACUUGACUCUAAGCUCUAACCCAUAUAUUACUCCUAAUACAAAGCUCCUAAACACACUUUUUGCCAUUAAUGAAGCUGUCGGCAAAAGAAGAGAAUUGCUUUAGGCACCCACCCGCUCUGCUCACUUAAGCGUUAGCGCGUUGCUUUAAGGAUGGAAUUUGGUGCAUAGUUCCGUUGCUUAUAGAAUGGAGUGAGGCCUUGCUUCCUAAGAUAUAUUAGAUGGGCAUAGAACAAGCAGUAAUGUACAGUAUUCAAAUCAAAUAAGUGAGACAGAUUCUAUAAUUGAUGAAAAACACUGCAUAUAUAUUAAGAGAAUCAGAUAAGUCAAAUGGAUUCUGAGAAAUAAGUCAGAUGACUCUAGUAACUCACAACACUGAAAGUUCGGCUGUCUCAAUAGACUUGGAAAUUGGAUUAAUCACACCGCUAAAGCUUCUGCACUAGCUAGUCUGUCUUGUCUUGAGGAUGAGGAGGUGGCUUGUCCAGCAGUUUAGGUCCUGUGCUCUCCCUUAUUUCAAAAGGGAGGGGUCGCGGGGCCCAGAGCGACUAUGCCCGGAUGUUUGGCGCAUCGAUAAGAGAGAGGCUAUCCUAUCCCAUGACUCAUUGUAAAAGGACCUAUAAGCAAAUAGCUAAGAAGAAACACUAGUAAAUCCCGCUCUUCCUGACCAGAAGUCUUGAAUCCUGUAUAGGACUUACUGCUUCAACUAAAGAGGAGGAUUUGUGCUUCUGGAGUGACCGCUUCAACUAAAGAGGAGGAUUUGUGCUUCCGGAGUGACCAUCCCGUCCCGCCAAUCCAAAGCCCCUUAAUAAUCUUGCUAUAUGGAGCCACCUUCUGAACCUCGACAUGCUUCUUUCCCAUUCUACAUAUCCUAAAAAGUAGGGGACCACGGCAUCCCCGAGCAACCACAAUAGUCCCGCAACCGACUUUAUGAAUUAAUGUAAGCUGUCUCAUCUCGUGUCCGUUGCUCCCGUACAAACUCAGGAAUGUCAUUCAGGUGAAGCAUCUUAUUUCUUACGGCCUGUCAUAAUGGUUACGCAGUGAUCUCGAACAUGACUUUAUUCUCAUGGAGAAAAGGGUUGAUUACUGCUCUUAUCUAGAGUAUAAUCUGGAAUGUUUAGUUCAUUAGGUCCUUCCUGACUCUCCCCUUUAGUUCAUUAGGUCCUUCCUGACUCUCCCCAUCCUUCCUAAGUUCUUACGCUCACUUUGAUUUCGCUCCUUCUCCUCUUACGGUAUAGCUUCCGGAUCAAGGGCUGGGCUCCAAACUUCUGAAUUUGGGGGCGAUCUCUCUUUGGGCGCGUCGCCUCUAAAGAGUCAAGCCUCCACUGAACUAAACUAUGUCUCCCCUUCCCUUCCAUAAGCGAGUCUCUCCCUUGAGUUAGACUUUUGCAUUUCACCAAGUCUUCGAUCAGAUACUCCCUGGUCAAAAGAUACUCAACUUGUUAGGAAGCCUUUAUUACUAAUCUUGCUUCCGAUAACGGGUUCGACUUCUCAUAUUUUCAUGAAUUACCAAUCACAUACCCUAACCCUUACUUAUUGCCUUCCCUCUUCCUUAGUCCCUUAUUUGGAUAUUUGGAAUGACUUUCCCUAAUGACUUUCCUCAAACCCUUUACUGCUCUUUCAAGGGCCGAUACUACUUGGCGGAACUACUACCAUGCCUCUAAAGAGUCUGACAUUGGACAAGACCCCGCGUAAGUCAUUAAUGCCACCCCUAGAAUCAGAUAAGUAAGGACUGCUGCUAGCGACAGGAAGUGAUGAACUUGCGCGUCAGGGACAUGCCACUGGCCCAAUUGACAAGGCAUAGGAAGCGAGUCCAGGGGGCCAAGCUACUGCUCA